Long non-coding RNA from Corythoichthys intestinalis (scribbled pipefish), 3653 nucleotides. RefSeq lists it as uncharacterized. The record is from RefSeq and is a predicted model, not a curated record. The transcript has 12 exons. NCBI's taxonomy places the organism in Eukaryota, Metazoa, Chordata, Actinopteri, Syngnathiformes, Syngnathidae.
CUGAAAGGGUUAAGAAAAAAUCUUUUUAUGGUUAAUAAUGAUGAAUAAAUAAAAAGAAAAGAAAGAAAAAAAAAAUAUUAGUUGAAAUGAAGGUCUCACGCAGGACGUCCAAAGGAGGUGGCGCCAAAACAUUAUGACGUCACAAAGAGUAACUGGCCUUUGAUGUCACAUGAGUAUCUAAACAGCAUCCAAAGGAGCGGGUGGAAAUCGGUCAUAUGCUGCAUUCGAGCACACGCGAGUCAUCGGAAGGCACCCGACUCAUCUAGAGACUUUUCUACGAUGGAACACCUCACGUCUGAACUUACUGCAUUCGUUGAAUGACUGGGAGAUUACCCACCAGACCUUACUGCUGGUUCAUCAGAAGACUGAGGCUCUGCAAUAGGAAGGAGACCACUUCUAAUGACAUGGACUUAAAAUGAGAAAACGCUGAGAGUACGACAACUGACUGGCUGCAGCUCUUGCGCAACGCAGACAGCAAACGCAAAGUGGUCAUCGCCUCUCUGGCUUUCCACAUGACCUGGGCAUAGGUAUGUCGUCUGCUGGAAAGCCUGGAGGAGGAGUAUAAGUGGAUGGAGGACUGGUGCUGCGCAACAGGCAAACCUGACCCCAGCGGUCAGAUGGUUUGACUUCCAUGAUCAGUAAACACCUAAAACAGAAGGAAUUGUUCCUCAAGCCUGCACGUUAACCAAGGGAAUUGCAGAUAUCUUCUACCAGUACGUAGAGAGGAACGGCGCUACAAUGGGAAGGCUGAGUCACGACCGGGAAGAGCAUGUUACAAGCAUUCUGAAUUACUUGGAUGAGAGAGAAAACCCUAUCUUCUGUUCGUGGAAUGUCAGAAAGCAGCAACUGGACCAGGGCCAGCAGUAUUUGUCGUUUGAACGUCGUGCCAUUCAGGCUUAGGAGACAUUUCAAGAUAUGAGUGAGGUUUACCUGUCCUUGUACUACUCCACUGGCUCAAGCAUCUGCUUCAGGCAGGAGCUGCUGAAGGAGAAGGAAAACUUUAAUGUCAUCAGCAAGCGAAUGGAAGAGUGCGUGAAGCUGCUUAUCCGACUGGCGGACGGGUACUGCGCCAAAGGUCACAGCCAUGCCGGCAAGAUAAAAAAAACGUGUUUUGGCAGUUAACCGGUGCUACCAGGAUUUGAACCUGCGAAUGGAAAAGCACUGCUGCAGCUUGGAGAAAAAUAAGAAUGUCCAACUGGGCAUUGUUCCUGCUACAUCUGACAACAAGAUGAGGGAUGGCGACCUGCACGCAGUAAAGCGUUUAUGUUGGCGGAGCGCUGCCAUAAGAAGCUGACCGCUAAGCACUCGGCUGCCCACCACAACCGGGAGAAGAAGCAUGAAGGGCCUCUGCCCCUCCUUCCUGAGAGCUGGGCCAUCCCCGGCAGGUGUGCAUGAUUCAUCUAAUUCACAGGUCAGAUGGGUGGAGCGGCCACAGGUGCAGGCAAUCAUCAUCAGCCACCUUUAUAAGCCAGUGGACGCCUCACCUCGUCGCCAGAUCAAUUUGUCCGUUUCCAGCGACCUGUCUCUGUGCGCCCCAUGUCGGAACCUCAAGCCUGAUCUCUUCCCGAUCCUUGUCAGCACCCUGCCUGCCAAUUUGCUCUUGGAUCUGGCAACAAAUAAAACAUUUUUUGAUCACAGUCACUCUGCCUUUGUCUGCUCUGGGAUCCCCUCCCGUCGUGCAAACCUAACAUCACUGGGAUUGCUUUUCUCUUUGGCACAAGACUUUUUUUCUUCCUUCUUUCAGAAAAAAAAAGACCAAUACGCGGGGUCUGAAAGGCAAAUUGUUGUUGGAUUAUCUUUAAAUACCCGCUACUUUUUGAGCAGAAUUCUAGCUUUGUAUAGGCUAAUGUUCCUAUUAUUAAAAGCACAAAGGUGUGCAAUAAAUAACUAGCACAUUUAUAGUUUCCAUUUUGUUUUCUUACUGUACCGAAAAUGAACCGAACUGUGACCUCAAAACCAAGGUAAGUACCGAACCGAGAUUUUUGUGUACCGUUACACCCCUAAUCAAUAUUAAAAUGAAAUUCAAAUUUUAGGGGAAGAAAAAGAAAAAACAAUGAAUAUGGGUCUUGUCUUCGCAUCCUCAAAGAUUUGGACGUUCCAUUGUACCACACCUGUAACGAACACAUUGUUUAAUUAUUUGCAGUUCUUCUUAUCAUUUAUUUGGACACAAAGUUGAUAUUUAUUUACAGACACCUUGCACGGAGACUACAUGAUGCCAAGAUCGUGUCAUACACUCAAGCGUGGUCAUAAACUGGAGUUUAAAGGAACAGGUCCCAUUUGGCAAAAGUGGCACAACAAAAGUGUCAAUUGUUAAUUGUCAACAUGGGUAAACCUCAACCAUGAGAGACAGAAUGUGGGAAAAAAACAGAAAAUCCCAUUGUUUGAUUUUUAAAGAAUUUAUUUCCAAAUUAGAGUGGAAAAUAAGUAUUUGGUCACCUACAAACAAGCAAGAUUUCUGGCUGUCAAAAACGUCUUCUCACGAGGUCUUACGAGGCUCCACUCGUUACCUGUAUUAAUGGCACCUGUUUUAACUAAUUAUCGGUAUAAGGAACGGUACACCCUGGACUGGUCAUCGUCCAAGCACCUGUCAAAUCCAGACUCACAAACAGUAAACACUGUCUCAUAUUCUCAGUCAAUGAAUUUAAUAUGUACUGUAUAUUCUGUGAAUGUGGAUUUAAACUGGAUUAUCUAGAGCAAAAACCCUUGCAAGCACAGAGAGACCAAACAAACAAAUGGUAUGACAGAGCUGAAACGCUCGCUUCUCAAAAACAUCAAUGAUUUUUGCUACUAUACUAGAUACUAUUCUGUAUGGUAACUCGUUGGGUGAUUAUUGCUUAUUGCUUAUUGGAAUAUCACUGCUGUACGAAGGAUUACAGAAUUGCACAUCGGCCUCACAAUUCAGAAGUCUUUGUUGUUGUAAAUAAAUGAAUUUGUUUACACUGUAUUAACAGUAAACUUUUAGGUGUAAUUGAUAUGCCAAUAUUUUUCAAAUGUUUACUUUUUCAGUGAUGAGCAAGGAUAGUUAUCUCUGAUUGGUUCAAAUGCACGUUCUUUCUCCCCAAGAGAGUUUGGUGCAAAACAGGGGACUGAGAUGAGCGGAAGAGGAGCCUGAGGUUUUGCUGCCAGAGCCCUCUCCGUUUUUUGGAACAACAAAUAGAGGGGAAAAAACAAGCUUGUUGAAUUAAAGGAGCAAUGCAACGGAAAAUUGAUCAGAUUUUUAAGAGAAAGUAAGGAAUUGAGUUUUAUUUUAUUUCAAUCUUCCAUGUUAAUGUGCACUUUGGACUUAUUUUUGUUCAUUUAUGUAAGUAUGUAAAUGUGCACUUUGGACUUAUUUUUGUUCAUUUAUGUAAGGGUACUUAUUUAUUUCCUUAUAAUUAAAAAAAAGUGUUUUCUUUGUCUUCAAAAUAUAUUCCAUUUCACUGUGCAUAAUGUAUGUUAUUUGUACUUAUUUUUUGUUAAUGUAUGUUACAUAUAUGUUUACAUUAUCUUCCAUUUUAAAGUACAUUCUAUGUUAUUGAAUAGUUAAAAUAAAUGAGGGGAAAAUAAAAAUUAGAUGGAGUUUUAGAUAGAAUUUUGUAAAUCAGUGAAUUUUGAAUGGAAAUCAGUUUCUCAUUUAUGCCUUGUUCCGGUGUAAUGCAGUAGCGUAAUGCAUG